This 247-nucleotide ribosomal RNA is filed under the name uncultured Dialister sp. Its description in RNAcentral is "partial 16S ribosomal RNA". It matches the Rfam family "Bacterial small subunit ribosomal RNA", at positions 125 to 354 of the family's 1533-position model. The record is from RNAcentral. Lineage: Bacteria; Bacillati; Bacillota; Negativicutes; Veillonellales; Veillonellaceae.
CCUGCCUUCAAGAUGGGACAACAGACGGAAACGACUGCUAAUACCGAAUACGAUCCGAAAGUCGCAUGACAUUUGGAUGAAAAGGGUGGCCUAUCGAAGAAGCUAUCGCUUGAAGAGGGGUUUGCGUCCGAUUAGGUAGUUGGUGAGGUAACGGCCCACCAAGCCGACGAUCGGUAGCCGGUCUGAGAGGAUGAACGGCCACACUGGAACUGAGACACGGUCCAGACUCCUACGGGAGGCAGCAGGU